CCUACGGGGGGCUGCAGUGGGGAAUAUUGGACAAUGGGCGAAAGCCUGAUCCAGCCAUGCCGCGUGUGUGAAGAAGGCCUUCGGGUUGUAAAGCACUUUCAGUGGGGAAGAAAGCCUUGGGGCUAAUACCCUCGAGGAAGGACAUCACCCACAGAAGAAGCACCGGCUAACUCCGUCCCAGCAGCCGCGGUAAUACGGAGGGUGCGAGCGUUAAUCGGAAUUACUGGGCGUAAAGCGCGCGUAGGCGGUCUGAUAAGCCGGUUGUGAAAGCCCCGGGCUCAACCUGGGAACGGCAUCCGGAACUGUCAGGCUAGAGUGCAGGAGAGGAAGGUAGAAUUCCAGGUGUAGCGGUGAAAUGCGUAGAGAUCGGGAGGAAUACCAGUGGCGAAGGCGGCCUUCUGGACUGACACUGACGCCGAGGUGCGAAAGCGUGGGUAGCAAACAGGAUUAGAUACCCUUGUAGUC
This 465-nucleotide ribosomal RNA is filed under the name Vreelandella stevensii. RNAcentral describes it as "partial 16S ribosomal RNA". It matches the Rfam family "Bacterial small subunit ribosomal RNA", at positions 338 to 795 of the family's 1533-position model. Lineage: Bacteria; Pseudomonadati; Pseudomonadota; Gammaproteobacteria; Oceanospirillales; Halomonadaceae. The record is from RNAcentral.